This 1044-nucleotide ribosomal RNA is filed under the name Verrucocladosporium dirinae. RNAcentral describes it as "eukaryotic LSU rRNA". The stretch from base 107 to 1044 matches the Rfam family "Eukaryotic large subunit ribosomal RNA", at positions 1 to 966 of the family's 3401-position model. Lineage: Eukaryota; Fungi; Ascomycota; Dothideomycetes; Cladosporiales; Cladosporiaceae. The record is from RNAcentral.
CCCCCAAUCGAUCGGCUGGGUCGACCGUCCCUCAGCGUUGUGGCAACUAUUCGCUAAAGGGUGACGCGGUCGGUCACGCCGUAAAACAAGACCUCAUUUCUAAGGUUGACCUCGGAUCAGGUAGGGAUACCCGCUGAACUUAAGCAUAUCAAUAAGCGGAGGAAAAGAAACCAACAGGGAUUGCCCUAGUAACGGCGAGUGAAGCGGCAACAGCUCAAAUUUGAAAUCUGGCGUCUACGGCGUCCGAGUUGUAAUUUGUAGAGGAUGCUUCUGGGCAGCCACCGGUCUAAGUUCCUUGGAACAGGACGUCAUAGAGGGUGAGAAUCCCGUAUGCGACCGGACAGGCACCCUCCACGUAGCUCCUUCGACGAGUCGAGUUGUUUGGGAAUGCAGCUCUAAAUGGGAGGUAAAUUUCUUCUAAAGCUAAAUACCGGCCAGAGACCGAUAGCGCACAAGUAGAGUGAUCGAAAGAUGAAAAGCACUUUGGAAAGAGAGUUAAAAAGCACGUGAAAUUGUUGAAAGGGAAGCGAUUGCAACCAGACUUGCUCGCGGUGUUCCGCCGGUCUUCUGACCGGUCUACUCGCCGCGUUGCAGGCCAGCAUCGUCUGGGGCCGCCGGAUAAGACUUUGGGAAUGUAGCUCCCUCGGGAGUGUUAUAGCCCAUCGUGAUGCGGUGCGUCCCGGGCGAGGUCCGCGCUUCGGCUAGGAUGCUGGCGUAAUGGUCGUAAUCGGCCCGUCUUGAAACACGGACCAAGGAGUCUAGCAUCUAUGCGAGUGUUCGGGUGUAAAACCCCUACGCGUAAUGAAAGUGAACGGAGGUGGGAACUUUUUGUGCACCAUCGACCGAUCCUGAUGUCUUCGGAUGGAUUUGAGUAAGAGCAUAGCUGUUGGGACCCGAAAGAUGGUGAACUAUGCCUGAAUAGGGUGAAGCCAGAGGAAACUCUGGUGGAGGCUCGCAGCGGUUCUGACGUGCAAAUCGAUCGUCAAAUUUGGGUAUAGGGGCGAAAGACUAAUCGAACCCUCUAGUAGCUGGUUCCUGCCGAUU